RNAcentral lists this ribosomal RNA (156 nucleotides) under Gambierdiscus sp. ribotype 2 MVW-2010. RNAcentral describes it as "5.8S ribosomal RNA". Lineage: Eukaryota; Dinophyceae; Gonyaulacales; Pyrocystaceae. The record is from RNAcentral.
ACCUUAGUCAGCAAGUGAUGKUUUGGCCCAGCUUGACGAUGAAGGGUGCAGCAAGAUGUGGUAUGCAAUAUGACUUGCAGAUUUCCGAGAAUAGGUGUGAAUUUAAUGCCUCCUGCAUCCUUGGGACACUCCCAAUGGUGUGCUUAAWUUGAAACA